Small nucleolar RNA from Monodelphis domestica (gray short-tailed opossum), 77 nucleotides. It matches the Rfam family "Small nucleolar RNA SNORD66". From Rfam's summary of the family: snoRNA HBII-142 is part of the C/D family of snoRNAs. It is the human orthologue of the mouse MBII-142 snoRNA and is predicted to guide 2'O-ribose methylation of small 18S rRNA at residue C1272. NCBI's taxonomy places the organism in Eukaryota, Metazoa, Chordata, Mammalia, Didelphimorphia, Didelphidae. The record is from Rfam.
CUUCACUGAUGAGAUCCUGUUUGUGCCGUCGUGUCUGGGCCACUGAAGCCUUGUGAUGGAGUUGAGGAUCUGAGGAG